UUCGCAAUGCCCGAAAGGGUGACGAAGCGACGCCGCGUGGGUGAGGAAGGCCUUCGGGUUGUAAAGCCCUGUCAGGAGUUAAGAAAUAUAGACUCGCUAAUAUCGGGUCUAUUUGACAAAGGCUCCAAAGGAAGCCACGGCUAACUCUGUGCCAGCAGCCGCGGUAAUACAGAGGUGGCAAGCGUUGUUCGGAAUUAUUGGGCGUAAAGAGCACGUAGGUGGAUUUGUAAGUCAGACGUGAAAGCCUUCUGUUCAACGGAAGAAUUGCAUCUGAAACUACAAACCUUGAGUGUAGGAGGGGAGAAUGGAACUUCUGGUGGAGCGGUGAAAUGCGUAGAUAUCAGAAGGAACGCCGGCGGCGAAAGCGAUUCUCUGGCCUAUUACUGACACUCAGUGUGCGAAAGCUAGGGGAGCAAACGGGAUUAGAUACCCCGGUAGUCCUAGCCGUAAACGAUGGGCACUAAGUAGAGGGGUUUU
RNAcentral lists this ribosomal RNA (477 nucleotides) under Candidatus Scalindua marina (nom. nud.). RNAcentral's name for it is "bacterial SSU rRNA". It matches the Rfam family "Bacterial small subunit ribosomal RNA", at positions 365 to 832 of the family's 1533-position model. The record is from RNAcentral. Lineage: Bacteria; Pseudomonadati; Planctomycetota; Candidatus Brocadiia; Candidatus Brocadiales; Candidatus Scalinduaceae.